UACGAACUGUGCGAACGUUAUUCGGAAUCACUGGGCUUAAAGGGUGCGUAGGCGGUUAUCUAAGUCAGGUGUGAAAUCUCUCGGCUCAACCGGGAAACUGCGCUUGAAACUGGGUGACUUGAGGGAUGCAGGGGUGUGUGGAACUUCCGGUGGAGCGGUGAAAUGUGUAGAUAUCGGAAGGAACGCCAGCAGCGAAAGCGGCACACUGGGCAUCUACUGACGCUGAGGCACGAAAGCUAGGGGAGUGAAC
This 250-nucleotide ribosomal RNA is filed under the name uncultured bacterium. RNAcentral describes it as "partial 16S ribosomal RNA". It matches the Rfam family "Bacterial small subunit ribosomal RNA", at positions 524 to 773 of the family's 1533-position model. The record is from RNAcentral.